Molecule: long non-coding RNA, 443 nt
Organism: Polypterus senegalus (gray bichir)
Lineage: Eukaryota; Metazoa; Chordata; Cladistia; Polypteriformes; Polypteridae
Exons: 3
Source: RefSeq, a predicted model, not a curated record
GGAAAUACUCAAAGCAGAGAAAUUGUGCUGGUCAUUUAUUAUUGUUUUAGGAACUGGGAGGGAACUGAAGCAGCAGCACCUUGCUUUCUGACCAUUUAGAGAUGCUCAGGAAACAGUCAUGCAGACAGGAUUUGCUAAACAGACAAAGGGAUUACUACAAGACACAUCUUUAAAAAGAGGGAAUCUCUGACUGUCAGUCCUUUUGCAGAGGAAUACAAUUUGGGUUUUUGCAGGUCUAACAAGGGGAUAUCUCAUCAUUUUGUAUAUGGCAAAGUUUCUUGCAGAGCUUUUGGGUUGCACUUUGCCAGAGAAGGGCUCGUCUCCUGUGUUUGAGUCCAGAAGUCAGCCUCACAUUGGCUUGAAGCGCACACCCAAACAAAGGCCCACAAUCUUUGGAACAUUGACAAAUGAAAAACAUUCGCUGGAUCGAAAAAGGGUGAGUA